RNAcentral lists this ribosomal RNA (463 nucleotides) under uncultured bacterium. Its description in RNAcentral is "partial 16S ribosomal RNA". It matches the Rfam family "Bacterial small subunit ribosomal RNA", at positions 28 to 507 of the family's 1533-position model. The record is from RNAcentral.
GACGAACGCUGGCGGCGUGCUUAACACAUGCAAGUCGAACGGUGAACCUCUUCGGAGGGGAUCAGUGGCGAACGGGUGAGUAACACGUGGGCAACCUGUCCCCGGCUCUGGGAUAACUCCAAGAAAUUGGGGCUAAUACCGGAUGUUCACCGCUUCCCGCAUGGGUGGUGGUGGAAAGGGUUUCCGGCUGGGGAUGGGCCCGCGGCCUAUCAGCUUGUUGGUGGGGUAGUGGCCUACCAAGGCGACGACGGGUAGCCGGCCUGAGAGGGUGACCGGCCACACUGGGACUGAGACACGGCCCAGACUCCUACGGGAGGCAGCAGUGGGGAAUAUUGCGCAAUGGGCGGAAGCCUGACGCAGCGACGCCGCGUGGGGGAUGACGGCCUUCGGGUUGUAAACCUCUUUCAGCAGGGACGAAGCGCAAGUGACGGUACCUGCAGAAGAAGCACCGGCCAACUACGUG